This 365-nucleotide long non-coding RNA is filed under the name Bos mutus (wild yak). RNAcentral's name for it is "lncRNA (ENSBMUG00000018110.1)". The record is from RNAcentral. Lineage: Eukaryota; Metazoa; Chordata; Mammalia; Artiodactyla; Bovidae.
CUAUUGGGGAGGGCUCUUCUUGGCGUGAUGAUGGUGAUGGUGGUGGAAGGGCUGAGGGGGGCGAGUUCAGAACUUUGCCUGGACUGGGAGGGUGGGAGGACCUGGAGGGAGGGAUAAAAGUCGUUUUGUUUGGUGAUGCCGAGUUGACCCAGCAGCCUUGGAAGCCCUCACCCGGGAAGGCAGCGAGCUGUUUGCCUGUUUACAGCGAAGGUUCCCACUUAAGUUCCAGCCCACUGCCUGGGUUGGAAGUCCGAGAGGAAACGAACGCAGGGAGUUCUCCGGGAGGCUGUCUUACACUUCCGCACGGAUGCAGGAGACCGGGGCCGAGGAUUAAGUGUGAAGGAGGAUUCUGGCAGUUGGGCUGA